AUGAAAGAAACAUACCAUUAACAAGGUUUAUUUUGUUAUUUUGUUUAUUUUCAGAUGAUGAAAGAAAUAUAUAUGUUGUUAUUCUGUUUAUUUUCUUCUUUAUUAUAUCUUAUAUAGGUAAUUUAAGUUUUAUUUAUGUAUUUUUUUGUAGACAACCUGAAGAUGAAGAAAAUGAUAAUUAAUCAUACACCAGAAAGUGCCUCUAAUACAUGGGGUCGUGUAGUCAAUCAUCCACCAGCUCCUCAAGUCCAAUCCUCUCCUUCUCUAUUUUCACCUCAAAGUACAGCUCCUGAAGUCCAAUCCUCUCCUUCUCUAUCUACAUUUGUUCAAUCAUCAGUUCAAGUUAAUGUAAGUGUUCUGUUUCUAGUCCUUUAUUGGUACAAGGUUGAAUUGUUCUUGAAUUUAAAUUUAUCUUGAAUUGUUCAAUUUGAUAGGAUAGAUUUGUUCAGACUCCCAAGUUGAAAGAUGGUUUCCUUUUCUUUUUCCAAAAGGAAAACCAGUGCAUUCAAUUUAAAACUCUCUUUCACAUUUAUCCUUUAUCCAGUUAAAAUCACCCUAAUCUCCAUACUUUUCACGAUGCUCAUGUCCACCUCACAAUAACUCUUUGCAAUAAACCACUCUCCACCUCUAAAUCUUUUUUUCAUUUCUUAACUACGUACAUUAUGACAAAACCACACAAUUAAAAAAACCUCACUGUAUACCUUUCCUUUCUCUUUCUUUUCACUUAUUUCAUAAACCCUCUUAGUUUCUCAACAGCCGCAACCAUUCUUUGUCAAUGGAAGGAAACACUCUUUGGAUUCUAUAAAAUAUAAUUUCUCCAUCACUUCACAAGUUCCAAAUGUCAUGCACGAAAGCCACUUCUUUCUUCAUGUACCAUGCACAUGUAUAACGUGUAAUAAGAGAAGAUGCACAUGCAUGAAAAUUACUAGAAUCU
This 934-nucleotide long non-coding RNA is filed under the name Vigna radiata. RNAcentral's name for it is "long non-coding RNA (VRAD_LNC013818)". Lineage: Eukaryota; Viridiplantae; Streptophyta; Magnoliopsida; Fabales; Fabaceae. The record is from RNAcentral.